UACGGGGGGGGCAAGCGUUGUUCGGAAUUACUGGGCGUAAAGGGCUCGUAGGCGGCCAACUAAGUCAGACGUGAAAUCCCUCGGCUUAACCGGGGAACUGCAUCUGAUACUGGAUGGCUUGAGUUCGGGAGAGGGAUGCGGAAUUCCAGGUGUAGCGGUGAAAUUCGUAGAUAUUGGGAAGAACACCGGUGGCGAAGGCGGCGACCUGGUCCGAUACUGACGCUGAGGCGCGAAAGCGUGGGGAGCAAACAGG
RNAcentral lists this ribosomal RNA (253 nucleotides) under uncultured bacterium. RNAcentral describes it as "partial 16S ribosomal RNA". It matches the Rfam family "Bacterial small subunit ribosomal RNA", at positions 524 to 776 of the family's 1533-position model. The record is from RNAcentral.